UGGCUGAGAUGAACGCUAGCGGCAGGCUUAACACAUGCAAGUCGAGGGGCAUCGCGGGGUAGCAAUACUCUGGCGGCGACCGGCGAAAGGGUGAGUAACGCGUGAGCAACAUGCCCGGUACUGGGGGAUAGUCAUUGGAAACGGAUGCGUAAUACCCCGUAACGAACAGAGUCCGCAUGGUCUUUGUUUGAGAGAGUUCAUUUGAUACCGGAUUGGCUCGCGUACCAUUAGCUAGUUGGCGGGGUAACGGGCCCACCAAGGCGACGAUGGUUAGGGGUUCUGAGAGGAAGGUCCCCACAUUGGAACUGAGACACGGUCCAGACUCCUACGGGAGGCAGCAGUGAGGAAUAUUGGACAAUGGCCGGGAGGCUGAUCCAGCCAUGCCGCGUGCGGGAAGGGACGGCCCUAUGGGUUGUAAACCGCUUUUGUCAGGGGAGCAAUUAAGGUCCACGUGUGGUCCGAUGAGAGUACCUGGCGAAUAAGCAUCGGCUAACUCCGUGCCAGCAGCCGC
Molecule: ribosomal RNA, 511 nt
Filed under: uncultured bacterium
Lineage: Bacteria
Description: bacterial SSU rRNA
Rfam family: Bacterial small subunit ribosomal RNA
Source: RNAcentral